GGAUUAGAUACCCUGGUAGUCCACGCCGUAAACGAUGUCUACUAGCCGUUGGGGUACUUGAGACCUUAGUGGCGCAGCUAACGCACUAAGUAGACCGCCUGGGGAGUACGGCCGCAAGGUUAAAACUCAAAUGAAUUGACGGGGGCCCGCACAAGCGGUGGAGCAUGUGGUUUAAUUCGAUGCAACGCGAAGAACCUUACCAGGUCUUGACAUCCUCGGAAGUAACCAGAGAUGGUUUCGUGCCUUCGGGAGCCGAGUGACAGGUGCUGCAUGGCUGUCGUCAGCUCGUGCCG
This 293-nucleotide ribosomal RNA is filed under the name uncultured bacterium. Its description in RNAcentral is "partial 16S ribosomal RNA". It matches the Rfam family "Bacterial small subunit ribosomal RNA", at positions 775 to 1067 of the family's 1533-position model. The record is from RNAcentral.